RNAcentral lists this ribosomal RNA (408 nucleotides) under Talorchestia sp. 1 HL-2018. RNAcentral describes it as "partial 16S ribosomal RNA". The record is from RNAcentral. Lineage: Eukaryota; Metazoa; Arthropoda; Malacostraca; Amphipoda; Talitridae.
UGGAAAAUAGCAUGAAAGAUUAAACAAAAUGGUUAUUUAUUUAUAGAAUAAAAUUAUAAUUUCUAGUUUAGGUAAAAAUACUUAAAUAAUUCAGAGGGACGAUAAGACCCUAUAAGGUUAAAGUUUAUUAAUUUUCUGAUACAUAAUUGUUAAAGAAAGAAAAGAUUUAUUUUUGGCUGGGGUAGUCUUAUUUAUAAACAAAUAUUUUUGGCUACGAGUUGUUUAUAAGGUCCCCUAAAUAGGGAUAAGUGUAUUAGUUACUUUAGGGAUAACAGCGUAAUGAUAAUGGUAAGACCUUAUUUAUAUUAUUGAUUGUGACCUCGAUGUUGAAUUAAUUUUCUUUAUAAAGCAGAAAGUAUAAGGGAUAGUUUGUUCAACUUUUAAAUUUUUACAUGAUCUGAGUUCAAA